This 2153-nucleotide ribosomal RNA is filed under the name marine sediment metagenome. RNAcentral describes it as "bacterial LSU rRNA". It matches the Rfam family "Bacterial large subunit ribosomal RNA", at positions 3 to 2003 of the family's 2925-position model. The record is from RNAcentral.
CCAAGCUACAAAGGGCCAACGGUGAAUGCCUUGGCACACACUACCGAUGAAGGACGUGGACGGCUGCGAAAAGCCGCGGUGAGCUGCCUAUCCAGCUUUGACCCGCGGAUGUCCGAAUGGGGAAACCCUCUAUCCGUUAUGGGAUAGAACUCUCGCCUGAACACAUAGGGCGAGUAGAGGGAACCGGGUGAAUUGAAACAUCUCAGUAACCCGAGGAAAAGAAAGCAACAGCGACACCCGUAGUAGCGGCGAGCGAACUGGGUAAAGCCUAAACCGAUGUGGUGCCAUAGCUUAGCGGCGUUGCCAUAUCGGGGUUGUGGGACAUGAUAGUGAGGGCGCUAAACCUCACACAGAGUUACAAAGUUGCUGGUUAGUGGAAGCGUCUUGGAACGGCGCGCCAAAGAGGGUAAGAGCCCCGUACACGAAAGCCAUGCAGCCUCUGUUCAUUGUUCCCGAGUAAUGCCGGAUCCGGGAAAGCCGGCAUGAAUCAGCGAGGACCACCUCGUAAGGCUAAGUAUAUGUGUGUGACCGAUAGUGAACUAGUACCGUGAGGGAAAGGUGAAAAGCACCCCGGGAGGGGAGUGAAAUAGUACCUGAAACCGUUGGUCUACAAUCAGUCAGAGCGUCGUUCAGAUUUAUCUGAGCCGCGAUGGCGUGCCUUUUGAAGAAUGAGCCAACGAGUUACGGCAUGUGGCAAGGUUAACCCGUGAGGGGAAGCCGGAGCGAAAGCGAGUCUGAACAGGGCGUUCAGUCGCGUGCCGUAGACCCGAAGCCAGGUGAUCUAUCCAUGGGCAGUGUGAAGCGGGGGUAAGACCCCGUGGAGGCGCGAACCGACCUAGGUUGAAAACUGGGCGGAUGACCUGUGGAUAGGGGUGAAAGGCCAAGCAAACCUGGUGAUAGCUGGUUCUCCGCGAAAUGCAUUUAGGUGCAGCGUCGUGUGUUUAGCCAAGGGGGUAGAGCACUGGAUGGGUACGGGGGCCUACAAGCUUACCAACCCCAACCAAACUCCGAAUACCUUGGCUCCAAAGCACGGCAGUGAGACCUCGGGGGAUGAGCUUCGAUGGUCGAGAGGGAAACAGCCCAGACCACCAGCUAAGGCCCCUAAUUCUGUACUAAGUGGUAAACGAUGUGGGAUCGCACAGACAGCCAGGAGGUUGGCUUAGAAGCAGCCACCCUUGAAAGAGUGCGUAAUAGCUCACUGGUCGAGUGAUCCUGCGCGGAUAAUGUAACGGGGCUCAAGUACAGAGCCGAAGCUGUGGAUUCGUACCUAGUACGAGUGGUAGCGGAGCGUCGAGUGUGGAGUGAAGCGGCAGGGUAACCGGUCGUGGACCGCGCUCGAGUGAGAAUGUUGGCAUGAGUAGCGAGAGAGGGGUGAGAAACCCCUCCGCCGAAAACCCAAGGGUUCCUGGGGAAGGCUAAUCCUCCCAGGGUAAGUCGGGAGCUAAGGCGAGGCCGAGAGGCGUAGUCGAUGCACAACUGGUUGAUAUUCCAGUACCAACGUGUGCGCGCCCAUACUGAAGCAAAGUUGCUAAGGGGAUGCUAGGGCCCAAUUAAACGGGCCCUUGACGAACCGACCCACUUUGUGAACGUAAGCAAUGCGGGGACGCAGGUAGGUAGGUGAACCCAGGCGAUGGUUGUCCUGGGGUAAGCGUGUAGGAGGGGGACUAGGUAAGUCCGGGCCCCAUUAACUCUGAGACGCGAUACGGAGCCGAUUUAGGCGAAGUCACUGAUCCUUUGCUGCCGAGAAAAGCCGCUAGCGAGCUCACACGUUGCCCGUACCCCAAACCAACUCAGGUGGGUAAGUAGAGAAUACUAAGGCGAUUGGGAGAACUAUGGUUAAGGAACUCGGCAAAUUGCAUCCGUAACUUCGGGAGAAGGAUGACCCCAUUAUUGUGAUGAGAUUUACUCUCUGAGCGAGAAGGGGUGGCACAAACCAGGGGGAAGCGACUGUUUACUAAAAACACAGCAGCGUGCGAAGUCGUAAGACCAUGUAUACGCUGUGACGCCUGCCCGGUGCCGGAAGGUUACGGGGAAGGGUUAGUCUUCGGACGAAGCUCUGAACCUAAGCCCCGGUAAACGGCGGCCGUAACUAUAACGGUCCUAAGGUAGCGAAAUUCCUUGUCGGGUAAGUUCCGACCUGCACGAAUGGCGUA